Long non-coding RNA from Dermacentor andersoni, 2266 nucleotides. RefSeq lists it as uncharacterized. Lineage: Eukaryota; Metazoa; Arthropoda; Arachnida; Ixodida; Ixodidae. The record is from RefSeq and is a predicted model, not a curated record.
GCAGCUUUUUCUCUUUUGCUGCAACUUCUCUUUUUUCUGCAGCUGUUUAUAUAGUAUUUUUGGAAAGCUAAUCAUAGAGCAGCUAUUCAUUCUUGGAAAGCUUGUUUGGAACCAGGCUCCGAAGAUGUUGAGAGGCUAUUCGUGGAGUGCUUUUAAUUACAAUUACUGACCUUGUGUUUAAAACUGAUGCUAAUCGUCCAUGAUAGCUGUCUUUUUUUUUCACUAUCCAGCACAAUCGUGGCAGGGACUUAUACCGAAAUAAAUAUUCCUGCUGUAAUUAUAUAUGUCUGCAUUUCGCUAUUCAAUAUUCAAUACUUCUUACUCUUCAUGUUUGAUUCAUAUUACAAAAAGUUGAUGUUUGCCCACUUCUAGUUGGUACUUCUGCAAGCAUAAGCGCAUCGGAAAAGCAAUAAUGGCUAGGAACAACAUCAUGGUGCUGGCUCGAGCUGCGCACAUGUGCUCUGGGCAUUUUGUUACGAGGCCAUUGAAAAUGCCCGAGAAGUGUUAAGUGCCUAUUGUAAUGAGAACAGUUGUUUGUCUGGCUGGCGGGAGGAAGUAAACACCAGUGUCAUUCAAGGAAAACACGUGCUGGCAAUGUGCGCUGUCGAAGGCGAUAAGCAACAAAUUGCGAGAGCAGCUUUGAGGGCCCAGGCGUUUUCUUUCCACGAACAAUCCACAGGCACUGGCUCAGAUAGGCUGGCUUUGUGCCCGCAUUUCCAACUGCACGGUGCGGGUACGCAACCGAGUAUGGUUAGUGCAGCAUGGUGCGUAACCUUGAGAAUGCAGUCAGAAAAAAAAAAAAAAAAAAAGAAAGCAGUGACCUGCUGGUUGGUCUGCAUCCCAUUUGAGUGAGAAGCUGCGAACCAACUUGCAAUGGGCUGAAUGCUCACACUGGGCAUCCACAUCAGACGGAGGAUCGCAGGAAGAUGGAGGCUCAAAGUGAUCUACAGAGGUCAAACAAGGCUUGUCAGUGGAGCCAACGUUUUAGCAUGUGGACUUGUGUUUGUCGGCACAGCAACUGCUUUCCCUGACAACAUUUAUGCGCACAAAGGCCACUCUGACAUGACACUGUCAACUUUUCAUUUGUUUUGCAUAAAGUGAUGGUCCAAAACUGCUAAAUCCUAUAUCAACUUGUCAUUUGCUUUGCAUUAAGUGAAGGUCUAAAACCUGUUAAAUCCUAGAUAAAGUACUGUCAAUAUGAUUAUCAGUGCUGUGGUAAGCCUACAAUGUGGAAAAAGGUUCGUAAACGGUAAAGUUAACAUCCACCUUACUUGUAGCACUAACAUCCUUGUAGACUAACAGCUUCCGUAGAACUCAUUUGCUGUAUUCAAUGACCCGUACUUUGAUUCGUCGAUUAAUUCGGCAUUAUGCAGCAGUCGGCCAGUCUCCUGGUUAGCUCAGAUGGUGGAACAACCAUCCCAGAAAGGCAUUGGUCCCAUAUUUGAUCCCUGGACCGUGAUGAAUUUUUCUUCAACUGCAAAGCUUCCUUUUUGCACAAACCCGUAUGGGUUUUCGUUGUAGCUUUGUGCUACAGGUCUGGUGCAUGUUAAAGUACUGUCAACCGUCAGAGUGCUCUAAAUAAUUUACUGUAAUACUCGUUCCUGCGAACCAGUUUCAUUGUCGGUACCCAGGAGGUAAGUGUGUCAUGACGUCAUGAUGCACUGGCUCAUUUCAUCCCAGCUGCCACAUGGGCCAGCAGCCAGAUACCACUGCAGCCAGAACAAGUGCAUGCAACACUGUUGUGAAUUUUUUUUUUAAACGAAAAUAUUGGUGUACCUAGCCUUAUUGCUACACAACGUUAAAAAAAUUCACUGUUUCCAUUACCAAGUUUCAGCUUUGUCUAACCUUUACAUCACUGAUUUAUAGCAACUGGUGAAGUAUUCUUUCAGACAUUUUUUCAUUAAUUUGGCAGAAAAAUGCUCAUUACUAGCUUAUAAAACAGAUCAGCAGCAUAUGACAAAGCCAUGUGCAACAAUGCAUCACAAAAGCUUGUUUAAGUUUGUUUAGGUGAGUUUGGGCAUAUUGAAAUAUUACCUAAUAUAUCAAACUACAAUUUGCGCGUAAGCCUGUUUGUUAUAAGUGCGUUUGACUGUACACUAAUUCAUUUUGAUAUUUAAAAAAUUCUUAUGAAUUUAUUUUACAUACCCUCAAGGCACCUAGGUAUUGUAGAGGGGAGUGGGGUACAUGUGUACAACAAUGACAAGAGUAAUUAUAAAUUUGCAUAAUACUGGCGACAUUUGUGCUGAAAACAACAAAGUUGGCAGAA